GAUGAACGCUGGCGGCGUGCUUAACACAUGCAAGUCGAACGAGCUUUAUUGUUACGAUCCCUUCGGGGGUGACGACUUUAAAGUGAGUGGCGGACGGGUGAGUAACGCGUGGAUAACCUGCCUCAUACAGGGGGAUAACAGCCGGAAACGGCUGCUAAUACCGCAUAAGCGCACGGUACCGCAUGGUACAGUGUGAAAAACUCCGGUGGUAUGGGAUGGAUCCGCGUCUGAUUAGCCAGUUGGCGGGGUAACGGGCCCACCAAAGCGACGAUCAGUAGCCGACCUGAGAGGGUGACCGGCCACAUUGGGACUGAGACACGGCCCAAACUCCUACGGGAGGCAGCAGUGGGGAAUAUUGCACAAUGGGGGAAACCCUGAUGCAGCGACGCCGCGUGAGCGAAGAAGUAUUUCGGUAUGUAAAGCUCUAUCAGCAGGGAAGAAGAAAUGACGGUACCUGACUAAGAAGCCCCGGCUAACUACGUG
Molecule: ribosomal RNA, 483 nt
Filed under: uncultured bacterium
Lineage: Bacteria
Description: bacterial SSU rRNA
Rfam family: Bacterial small subunit ribosomal RNA
Source: RNAcentral